AAAGCACACAACAUACAAAAAAACUGGUGGACUAAGUCAAUGGGCAAAACAUUUAAACAGGGUUUUCAUUCAGUAAUAAAGAAAUAAGAAAUACAUGAAGUCUGGGUUAAUGUUGGCUGACAAUGUGGCCAGUCCCCACCCCAGGAAAUGACAUCAUUACUUUAUAAAGAAAAAUUCAAGUUGUAUAAUAGCAUUAAUGCAAAAACAGCUGCAAUAAACAGUGCUACAACUAAAUCAACAUGUUUAUAGCCAUAUCUGCUGUUCUCAUCUCUUUGGCCACAGAAGCUGUUCUGGGAGUGACACUGGAGCAAAAAGAUCUCUUGAUGACAAAAGGUGAGGACAAAACUGUGUAUAUCAGCUGCAAAGUGACUGGAUUAUCCAGCAGCAAUUAUGUCCACUGGUACCAAGAGAAAGACGGUGAAGCUCUCACAAGGAUCCUAUACGUCAAAAGUGGAAGCUCAGUGGUUAAGGAUCCUAACCAUCCUGAAGCAAAUGACUUCGAUGUGAGGAUACAGUCUGAUAAUUAUGACUUGAAGAUAGCAGCCCUGAAGAAAAGUCACUCAGCAGUGUAUUACUGUGCCAGCUGGGACGGCAGUGCACAGUGAAUGAAUUAAUUACAGUGUAAACAAAAAACCUGACGAUACACAACCACAACAGAAAAAGUGUGUGUGGAGUAGCAAAGUUUGUUAAGCUGACUCUUACAUUAGAUGUUAACCAGCUAGGCAAAAACAAACCUUUACCAUUUCAAUAAUAUCAGCAAACCAAAGCAUUUUUGGUCUUUUAUUUCUAUUUGUUACAUAAACUACAGUUUCUAUUUUAUUUUGUCUAGACGCCCAUGUGAUGGUCUGAUACAUAAACAUUUUAAACGACC
Tachysurus fulvidraco (yellow catfish) is the source of this 871-nucleotide non-coding RNA. The record is from the annotation of a RefSeq genome assembly. Lineage: Eukaryota; Metazoa; Chordata; Actinopteri; Siluriformes; Bagridae.